Non-coding RNA from Chiloscyllium plagiosum (whitespotted bambooshark), 1093 nucleotides. The record is from RefSeq and is a predicted model, not a curated record. NCBI's taxonomy places the organism in Eukaryota, Metazoa, Chordata, Chondrichthyes, Orectolobiformes, Hemiscylliidae.
UGUAUUCUUCUAUGUUCUAUGUUCUAUAACUAACCACUCUACCCUCGCUAGAAUAGCUCAAUAAGGCUAAUUCUUUCUGAAUCAUUUCAAUUUCGAGAAUAAUCUUUCCCUUUCUCUGGCAUACAUUGUAAUAAUGUGGCUCUCUUUGUUUUUGUGACCAGAUACUUCCUUUGAAAAUACUGAUUUGAAGCUACCCAUCUCUGACAGCAUUAUCUCUCAAAUGUCUCAUAGUGCAGGCUUAAAACACUGAGUUAAUGGUCUGUUCAACAUCUGCUUUGAACUGUUUAUAUUGGGAGAUUAUAGCUUUGACGCAGUUGUGAUGAAGAUCGUAGGUCAGUCCCACCAUACAUGUUAUUAUUGGCAGAAGCUGUUCAUGGGAAAUGACCGUCAGCGGGAGCUGGGUCAGGGAGUUUUGCUCAUUCUCCCCUUACAAAACACACAGUUCUGAUCAGUGUUCUGUUAAGGCUUUCUGGAUUAUGGUCUGUGUUGGUGUGUAGUCUGACUGCAAUUUGAAAGAUGCUGCCUGACCUGCUGCAUGUUUCCAGCAUUUCCUGUUUUUAUUCCAGAUUUACAGCAUCUGUGGUAUUUCAUCUUCUGCUGAUUCCCAGCUGCUGAUAAGGAAUUUCCUGUGUGUGACAGAGAUAAAUUUAACAACCGUCUAAUCAAUGGACAGAGAUAUGAACUACAUCUGCCAAACAUAUUUUAUACUUGGAAACGAGCCAAUCUGGAUGAACGUUGGCAAUUUGAAGAAUUUGUUGUUCAGUUCAUUGAAUUGUCAACUCUGGAGCCCAACCAAAUUCUUUCCAACCUCAAAUCAGCAAAAACAAUAAAAUUAAAAACUCAGGACAUAUGUUGUGUUCUGACUCCAGUAGAGACCAGUAACAAUUUUUUUGAAAAUAGGAGAUGGGUUUUAAAAUCCUAUUUAUUUUGCAAAAGAAUAUGGCCACAAAGUUUUCCUGUUCUUGAGGCAGCAAAGUAAAUAUGACGUAUUUUCGAUUUAGAUUUAAUUGAUUAACUUUUUUCCUUUUUUAGUUAAUAUUAGGAAGGACUUUAAUGUUAACCAUUAUCUUAUUGAUUUAUUUUUCUACUUAUU